Long non-coding RNA from Carassius carassius (crucian carp), 1452 nucleotides. RefSeq lists it as uncharacterized. The record is from RefSeq and is a predicted model, not a curated record. Lineage: Eukaryota; Metazoa; Chordata; Actinopteri; Cypriniformes; Cyprinidae. The transcript is spliced from 6 exons.
AUUAAAUGUAUUUUUAUUAAUUUAAAACGUUAACAUUUUGACCUUUGCAUUAUUUUAUUUUAAGACGCUGAAUGACAUUUGGAAUAAGGACGAUGCGGAAUGGCAACAUUUAAUUAUACUCAAGUAAUUAUAUUCAAAAUUGCUCAUGCAGACGUUUUUGGUGAUGUCGCUUUAAGAAAAUGUCCCUCGCUUGGCUUGAGUCGAUCAAUUUAGGCGAUUGAUGCUGGCGUGCUCUGACAGAACCUCGCACGUUUUUCAACGCGGAGUCUGUUUUGGAGUUAAUAUUUCUCAGGUAAAUGCGGAAUAAUGUUAUAUAAUCUAAUUUAUACACGUGGGACGCCAUCUUCGGUUAAUUUUGUUGAACUUGAUGUUCCCCUGCUCUAGUCCGCUAAAAAUGCUUGCGUCAGACGUGGUGUAACGUACGUUGGGCUGCAGGAUGGAGCUGGCUAGAAUGUCUAGCUAACUUAAUAAAGGAGUUAAUACAAUUUGGUGUCACUGAAGUCACUGAAGAGGAGAGGAAAAAGUUUGAAGACAAUGAUGUGGAUGGAGAGACUGUUGACAUCGGACUGAGUCAAUGAUUUCAUUCCUCUUUGAGGGAUCAUUUAAAAAACAAGCAAAAUUCCAUCGAUUUAUUCAGCAGAUGAAGGAGACAGUGACAUUAACUCUUGAACCUGUCCAUGUAGAAAGCCAGUCAAGAGCUGGAGCAAGGUAUCCAACUACAGAAGAGUAUGUUCAAGAGGCUAAGGCCCUGACUCUGAGGUAUCCCUUUUUAAAAGACAAAGAGGGCAAUGGAUUUUUAAGUAGCUGGUUUACCUUUUAAUGUUCUACUUUUGGUUCUUGGUUAAUGGAGUUUAUUUUGUGAAACUACUUUUCUUUUUGUUUUUUUAUAGCACACUUGGCACAUGUCUCUGAAACGCAAGUUUAAAUUUGAGCAGACACCUUUGGCUGAAGUUGAAGUAGUGAAACGACUUAAACAGAAGUUUGGUCAUUCAAAAAAGUCUCUGCAACCUGAAGAAAGCAGUUGCAAAGAAAUUACAAGGCCUUUGAUUAAUGCUGUUGGAGAGGAUGCUGCAUCAAUAGAGGGACAUGUGAAAGUCCUGCAGGACCAAUAUAGAAGGACACAGCCAGAUACUCGCAUUGUUGAAGAUCGAAUGAGGAGGACCUUUGCCUGGAGGCAGCAGGAGAUUACUAGUGGUAUGACUGUUGAAGAUGUCGUCAACAAAUAUCCAUUCUUGAAGAGUCCAACAGGGCUUUAUCAAUAAAUUGGUUUCCUGUAUAAAUGUGUUCAUCUGAGCCGCCAUUUUCGAGAACAUUUUGGACCCAUUACAUCCAGCGUGCUACGGCUUGCUCAAGAGAAAUCCACAUUAGCAAAGCUCCAUGAAGAAGCUGGAGAAGAAUCUCUCUUUAAAAACCAUCUUGGAAUUGAUUUUAAAGCAGCACUUCUCAUGUUGC